RNAcentral lists this ribosomal RNA (497 nucleotides) under uncultured bacterium. RNAcentral's name for it is "partial 16S ribosomal RNA". It matches the Rfam family "Bacterial small subunit ribosomal RNA", at positions 28 to 507 of the family's 1533-position model. The record is from RNAcentral.
GAUGAACGCUGGCGGCGUGCCUAAUACAUGCAAGUCGAGCGAACGGACGAGAAGCUUGCUUCUCUGAUGUUAGCGGCGGACGGGUGAGUAACACGUGGAUAACCUACCUAUAAGACUGGGAUAACUUCGGGAAACCGGAGCUAAUACCGGAUAAUAUUUUGAACCGCAUGGUUCAAAAGUGAAAGACGGUCUUGCUGUCACUUAUAGAUGGAUCCGCGCUGCAUUAGCUAGUUGGUAAGGUAACGGCUUACCAAGGCAACGAUGCAUAGCCGACCUGAGAGGGGGACCGCCCACAUUGGAACUGAGACCGGCCCCAGCCUCCUGCGGGAGGCGCCAGUGGGAAAUCUUCCGCAAGGGGCGAAGGCCGGACGGAGCAACGCCGGGUGAGUAAUAAAGGUCUUCGGAUCGAAAACCUUUUUUAUGAGGAAAAAACAUAUGUGUAAGUACCUGUGCACAUCUUGACGUUACAUAAUCAGAAAGCCACGGCUAACUCCGUG